Chelonoidis abingdonii (Abingdon island giant tortoise) is the source of this 335-nucleotide non-coding RNA. Lineage: Eukaryota; Metazoa; Chordata; Testudines; Testudinidae. The record is from RefSeq and is a predicted model, not a curated record.
CUGCGCUGCGAGCUUCCCCCAGCAGUGCCCUGCCACUCUGCACCCCCAACCCCCAGGGCCGGCUCCCUCCCAGGCCUUCAGCAUCGAGACCCACAACGCCACCGUCUUCGAGGGCGACGCCGACGCACAGUUCGGGUACCGGGUCGUCCAGAUGCGCUCAAAGGACAGCUCCUGGCUGGUGGUCAGCGCCCCCCUGGCGGAGAAUGGGACGGGGGCCCUGUAUCGCUGCUCCUAUCAUGCGGGGGCCUGUCAGUCUGUCCCCCUGCCUGACACUCCCCCCGUCUCCCUGGGGCUGACGCUCGCCUCCGACGAGAUCUCCGGGUCCCGAGUUGUUG